GACAGAGGGGGCAAGCGUUGCUCGGAAUUACUGGGCGUAAAGGGCGCGUAGGCGGGAUGGCAAGUCGGUCGUGAAAUCCUUCGGCUCAACCGAAGAACGUCGGCCGAUACUGCCGUUCUUGAGGGAUGCAGAGGAGAUUGGAAUUCCCGGUGUAGCGGUGAAAUGUGUAGAGAUCGGGAGGAACACCGGUGGCGAAGGCGGGUCUCUGGGCAUCUCCUGACGCUGAGGCGCGAAAGCGUGGGGAGCAAACGGG
This 253-nucleotide ribosomal RNA is filed under the name uncultured bacterium. RNAcentral describes it as "partial 16S ribosomal RNA". It matches the Rfam family "Bacterial small subunit ribosomal RNA", at positions 524 to 776 of the family's 1533-position model. The record is from RNAcentral.